This 490-nucleotide long non-coding RNA is filed under the name Parus major (Great Tit). RNAcentral describes it as "lncRNA (ENSPMJG00000013770.1)". The record is from RNAcentral. Lineage: Eukaryota; Metazoa; Chordata; Aves; Passeriformes; Paridae.
AAAAAAACAAAACCAACAACAAAAAAAUCAGCCAGCAUAUAGAAAUACAUUUAUAUUAUUCUUAGGCAUCUUUCCUGUGGGUUGCAAAAAUUUGGUUUUGUUUUCUCUACGUGCCUCGGCACUUCUCGUUCCAUCUGGAAGUGGAGAUCAAAGCGCUGCAGUCCCACAAGCAAGCGAGCAAGCAUUUGUCUCUUGAGCUGCACAAGGAAGCACUGGAAGGCUGACAAAGGAUCGUGCUGCUGCAGGGCAGGGGCCAGAGCGCCGCAGAGAUGCGUCGCUCCAGAUUGCUUCAAGGGGCACCGGAUCACGUUUUGGAGCACAAUGUUUAGAUCUCUGAAGGGAUAAGUGAGCAGAACAUGAGCCUUACAUAAAUAUCAGAUCGCUGCAAUGAGAGAUAAAAACUUGUGUUGCAGAAUGCAACUUUGCUUGCCUCAAGUAGGUGGGUUUCCUUUGUUUGUUUUUUAAUACAACAUUAAUAAAAACAUUGUUA